Molecule: ribosomal RNA, 532 nt
Filed under: Cupidaspis cupressi
Lineage: Eukaryota; Metazoa; Arthropoda; Insecta; Hemiptera; Diaspididae
Description: eukaryotic LSU rRNA
Source: RNAcentral
AUCUGGGCGGCGGAAUUCAGGAUGGCUGGCGGGUCUCGCGCUCGUCCGGCCGUUUGAUAUUUCCGUCGCCGUGUCAGACGUCGCGACCUGUUCGUCGUCGGUCCCUGCUCGGAGGAAUCGCGAUCGAGUUCGUUGCGGACGCGCUUCGGCGUGUUCCGCGGCGAAGACGCGACUCUCUGGCUGACGACGGACAGUAGGCAACGGUGUCCGGCGCCGUGUCUCGCACUCGGUGUCGGUGCCGGUCAGCGACGAUUUCUUCGGGCCUCUUUCCGACCCGUCUUGAAACACGGACCAAGGAGUCUAACAUGCGCGCGAGUCGCGGGGUUUCGAGCGUGCCACGUUGUGCGCUCGUUACUUCCGAAACCCGUACGUUGAAGGCGUAAUGAAAGUGAACAGGGAAGAUGGCGUUCCGAGUCCACGUACCGUGAUCGAGUAUCGCGGCCGGACGUCCGCACUCCCGGGGCGUCUCAAUGGUUCGUCGCGGAUGCGGACGGUCGUCUUUCGGGGCGGCCGUCGGUCUGCGCCGGUCCGA